Molecule: long non-coding RNA, 261 nt
Filed under: Solanum tuberosum (potato)
Lineage: Eukaryota; Viridiplantae; Streptophyta; Magnoliopsida; Solanales; Solanaceae
Description: long non-coding RNA (STUB_LNC002761)
Source: RNAcentral
UCUUUCCACAUAAUCUACACGAGCUUGGAUCCACAUGAAAUCUACGAGGAGAAAACUGAGCAAAAAGAUUGAAAUCAUUUGGCAUGGAUAGAUUGAGAUGAAUCUGAAUAGAAGUGAGUAGGCAAAAUACCAAAGGGUUUCAAGGGUAUACAAUUACGCCGAAUUGAAGUAGAGUUUCAGCUCCGAUUUGAUUAUGUAUCGAGGAAGAGGCGCUGCACCUGCAAGUACUCUUCAACUUCCACUUUCCUAAUUUUUUUUUUU